RNAcentral lists this ribosomal RNA (503 nucleotides) under uncultured bacterium. RNAcentral describes it as "bacterial SSU rRNA". It matches the Rfam family "Bacterial small subunit ribosomal RNA", at positions 7 to 507 of the family's 1533-position model. The record is from RNAcentral.
GAGAGUUUGAUCAUGGCUCAGGAUGAACGCUAGCGGCAAGGGCUUUAACACAUGCAAGUCGAGGGGUAGAGGAAGCUUGCUUCCUUGAGACCGGCGCACGGGUGCGUAACGCGUAUGCAAUCUACCUUAUACAGGGGAUAGCCCAGAGAAAUUUGGAUUAAUACCCCAUAGUAUAAUUGAAUGGCAUCAUUUAAUUAUUAAAGUUCCAACGGUAUAAGAUGAGCAUGUGUCCCAUUAGCUAGUUGGUGUGGUAACGGCACACCAAGGCGACGAUGGGUAGGGGUCCUGAGAGGGAGAUCCCCCACACUGGUACUGAGACACGGACCAGACUCCUACGGGAGGCAGCAGUGAGGAAUAUUGGUCAAUGGGCGCAAGCCUGAACCAGCCAUGCCGCGUGCAGGAUGACGGUCCUAUGGAUUGUAAACUGCUUUUGUACAGGAAGAAACACUCCCUCGUGAGGGAGCUUGACGGUACUGUAAGAAUAAGGAUCGGCUAACUCCGUG